GGGGGCCCGCAAGUGGUGGAGCAUGUGGUUCAAUUCGACGCAACGCGAAGAACCUUACCUGGGCUCGAAAUGUAGUGGACCGGGGUGGAAACAUCCCUUCCCGCAAGGGCUGCUAUAUAGGUGCUGCGUGGCUGUCGUCAGCUCGUGUCGUGAGAUGUUGGGUUAAGUCCCGCAACGAGCGCAACCCUUAUUGUCAGUUGCCAUCAUUCAGUUGGGCACUCUGGCGAAACCGCCUCGGAUAACGGGGAGGAAGGUGGGGAUGACGUCAAGUCCUCAUGGCCUUUAUGUCCAGGGCUACACACGUGCUACAAUGGCCGAUACAAAGCGUUGCAAACUCGCGAGAGUGAGCUAAUCGCAUAAAGUCGGUCUCAGUUCGGAUUGCAGGCUGCAACUCGCCUGCAUGAAGUUGGAAUCGCUAGUAAUCGCGGAUCAGCAUGCCGCGGUGAAUACGUUCCCGGGCCUUGUACACACC
RNAcentral lists this ribosomal RNA (472 nucleotides) under uncultured bacterium. Its description in RNAcentral is "bacterial SSU rRNA". It matches the Rfam family "Bacterial small subunit ribosomal RNA", at positions 915 to 1391 of the family's 1533-position model. The record is from RNAcentral.